GCUCAGUAAUACUCACUUUAUUUUAUGUAAAUUUUUAAUUAACUACGUUAAAGUGUAGAUAAGAUGUUUACAGUAAGAGUGAGACCUAUCAGCUAGUUGUUAAGGUAAUGGCUUAACAAGGCUGUGACGGGUAACGGUAUUACUUUGUAAUAUUCCGGAGAAGGAGCCUGAGAGACGGCUACUAAGUCUAAGGAUUGCAGCAGGGGCGAAACUUGACCUAUGGAUUUUAUCUGAGGCAGUUAUGGGAAGUAAUAUUAUAUUGUUUCAUAUUUUAAAAGUAUAUGAGGUGAUUAAUUGGAGGGCAAAUCAAGUGCCAGCAGCCGCGGUAAUACUUGUUCCAAGAGUGUGUAUGAUGAUUGAUGCAGUUAAAAAGUCCGUAGUUUAUUUUUUUAAAAAGCAA
Molecule: ribosomal RNA, 400 nt
Filed under: Nosema sp.
Lineage: Eukaryota; Fungi; Microsporidia; Nosematidae
Description: SSU rRNA
Rfam family: Microsporidia small subunit ribosomal RNA
Source: RNAcentral